AAAGGGAGACCUAAUUCGGGUAUGGGACGAAAAAAAAGUAGUCGCUACCAAGAAUCAAUCCCAAAAGGUCGGAACGAGGUAUGUGGCUUUCAAACUAGGUUCUGGGUUCACACAAGACCUGAAUCAGGAACAAGGGCUAUUAGCUCAGGUGGUUAGAGCGCACCCCUGAUAAGGGUGAGGUCCCUGGUUCGAGUCCAGGAUGGCCCACCUGUACAGGUGGCAAAAACAAGAGAAGCGAGGAAUCAGCACCUUAUCUUACUCAUAUAGUAAGAGAGAAUGCUGGCUCUGAGUAAAGAGUCCAGAGGAACCUUGAAAACUGCAUAGAGCUAGGUGAAAAAGCCAAAAAAGAAGACCGCAAG
This 359-nucleotide transfer RNA is filed under the name uncultured Microcystis sp. RNAcentral's name for it is "partial 16S-23S ribosomal RNA intergenic spacer". The stretch from base 134 to 207 matches the Rfam family "tRNA". Lineage: Bacteria; Bacillati; Cyanobacteriota; Cyanophyceae; Chroococcales; Microcystaceae. The record is from RNAcentral.